This 380-nucleotide ribosomal RNA is filed under the name uncultured eukaryote. RNAcentral's name for it is "partial 18S ribosomal RNA". It matches the Rfam family "Eukaryotic small subunit ribosomal RNA", at positions 592 to 976 of the family's 1831-position model. The record is from RNAcentral.
CAAUAGCGUAUAUUAAAGUUGUUGCAGUUAGAACGCUCGUAGUCGGAUUUCGGGGCGGGUCGACCGGUCUGCCGAUGGGUACGCACUGGCCGACGCGUCCUUUUUGCCGGAGACCGUCCCUACUCUUAACUGAGCGGGGUCGGGAGACGGCACUUUUACUUUGAAAAAAUCAGAGUGUUUCAAGCAGGCAGCUCGCUCUUGCAUGGAUUAGCAUGGGAUAAUGAAAUAGGACUUUGGUGCUAUUUUGUUGGUUUCGAACACCGAAGUAAUGAUGAGAAGGGACAGUCAGGGGCACUCGUAUUCCGCCGAGAGAGGUGAAAUUCUCAGACCGGCGGAAGACGAACCACUGCGAAAGCAUUUGCCAGGGAUGUUUUCACUGA